Paramuricea clavata is the source of this 463-nucleotide non-coding RNA. Lineage: Eukaryota; Metazoa; Cnidaria; Anthozoa; Malacalcyonacea; Plexauridae. The record is from the annotation of a GenBank genome assembly.
CCUAGGAUGGAUGCUGAUGGAAGUUGACCUCAUGUUACUGUGCAUAUCGAAUAGCUUCAAAUCUUGUAAAAAUUGAACCAGUGGAUAAUCGUGCAUGAGAGAGUUCAUGGUAGUUGACAGUCAAAUGUCAUGGAUGGGUGCUCCAUAUACUCAGCCUUUUAAAUGAUCUUGUGCGUGACAUACGUUCGGCAGUGACAAAAUGAACUGCUACUCCGGAAUAUGGAAUUAUGAACUCCGGUUUCUUUUAAUGUGUGCAUGCAAUUUUCGGCCUGGUAAUUGUAGGAGCAAUUUGUCUAUAUGCUUAAAUUUUCAACACGGUCUGUUUUGCCAAUUUUGAUUGCACCAGCUCUGUUUUAUACUCCGGACAUCAACAUGGAUAAAGCAGUUGGCAGGUAUAGGUAAAAGCCAGCACCCAGCAAUUUUUCCGGCUAUAGUGUAUCGAAAUUAUAACUCAAAAAUUUCC